UCUUAGCUGACGAGUGCCAAAUAAGACGAAACGCGCGUUAUAGAU
This 45-nucleotide non-coding RNA is filed under the name Schistosoma margrebowiei. The record is from RNAcentral. Lineage: Eukaryota; Metazoa; Platyhelminthes; Trematoda; Strigeidida; Schistosomatidae.